RNAcentral lists this ribosomal RNA (433 nucleotides) under uncultured bacterium. RNAcentral describes it as "partial 16S ribosomal RNA". It matches the Rfam family "Bacterial small subunit ribosomal RNA", at positions 29 to 507 of the family's 1533-position model. The record is from RNAcentral.
AACGAACGCUGGCGGCAUGCCUAACACAUGCAAGUCGAACGAGACCUUCGGGUCUAGUGGCGCACGGGUGCGUAACGCGUGGGAACCUGCCCUUAGGUUCGGAAUAACUCCCCGAAAGGGGUGCUAAUACCGGAUAAUGUCUUCGGACCAAAGAUUUAUGGCCUUUGGAUGGGCCCGCGUUGGAUUAGCUAGUUGGUAGGGUAAAAGCCUACCAAGGCGACGAUCCAUAGCUGGUCUGAGAGGAUGAUCAGCCACACUGGGACUGAGACACGGCCCAGACUCCUACGGGAAGCAGCAGUGGGGAAUAUUGGACGAUGGGCGAAAGCCUGAUCCAGCAAUGCCGCGUGAGUGAUGAAGGCCUUAGGGUUGUAAAGCUCUUUUACCCGGGAUGAUAAUGACAGUACCGGGAGAAUAAGCUCCGGCUAACUCCGUG